Long non-coding RNA from Chinchilla lanigera (long-tailed chinchilla), 1081 nucleotides. RefSeq lists it as uncharacterized. Lineage: Eukaryota; Metazoa; Chordata; Mammalia; Rodentia; Chinchillidae. The transcript has 2 exons. The record is from RefSeq and is a predicted model, not a curated record.
CCUGGUUCGCUGGGCCACCGUCCUGACACGCCACCGAGAGAUUCUGCGGGCGUUCGCGGCGGUACUUGGGCGACUGUACGCCGUGGACCGCUGGUAUCGGGAGGAGCUGUCCACGGUCAUUUGGUGAUGAGCGGAGAAGCGACUCGAGAGGAUUUGCAGCGACUGGAGGCAGGGAAACUAAUUGGGAGGGGAGGGGCCAGAGAGAGAUGGGACUUCUUUCUAGGCUGGACCGGCGGGCGGGGCUUUAUUGGGGGCGCGGUCUCGUGAAGGGGCUGGGUUUUGAUGGGCAAGCUUCUCUGGGAGGUUCAGGUCCAGCAACCCUGUAUACACCCCGCCUCCCGAGCUGGUGGUGUCAUGCUCAGCCACCGCCAUCCUCCUGCCAGAUAUGUGAGCUGCAGUCACAAAGUUGUGUCCUCCUAGGCAUGGGCCGGGCCACUGCCUCCAUUGUGCCUGACUGCAACUUAGGCUCUGUCGUCUUUGCCUUUGAGAUGGGCAGAUGGUGUGUCACAGGGUCCUGGGCAGGCGCUCCAGGAUGUUGUCACAAGAGCUGCCCCUUCACUGUCUAUAGCUGUUGUGAAGGCUGGAGCUUGGAAGAUGACAGCCUUCAAGUCCAAUGAGGCAGUACCUACUGUACCUGGGCCAGGUGCAAGAGCGUGUCACAGCCCUAAGCCAACCUGAAUGGACUACUGGUGGGCUGGGAGUACAUUCAAGAUCCCAGUCAGGGUGGAGUGGGUGGUUGGUGACUUUGGGCCCGACUCCCUGAGGCCCUCCCCCAGCCAGAGUGCAUCAGGACCGUGGACCCCUCACAUUGUGGAAACAGCCUUGUGGAGUUGGGCCAUGUUGCUGUAGCUGUGCCUGGACAUGUGCCUGACCUUGGCACUAGCAUGGUUGCUCAUAAGGAUGCAAGGCAAGCCAAAAAGCACAGGACUCAGACCAAAUGAACUUGGCUGUGGCCUAAAGCCUGGCUGCUCAUCUGCCAUGAGACAUCAGGAUACAGGUUUCUGGACUGCAGGCUGGCUGAAUAAGAGGCUUAGUGUCCCCAGAGCUCAAUAAAAGCUUGCUAAACUCAACGUGACCAGGA